This is a long non-coding RNA of Mytilus californianus (California mussel), 2442 nucleotides long. RefSeq lists it as uncharacterized. NCBI's taxonomy places the organism in Eukaryota, Metazoa, Mollusca, Bivalvia, Mytilida, Mytilidae. The transcript is spliced from 14 exons. The record is from RefSeq and is a predicted model, not a curated record.
AAAAUGUAAGAAAAUAUUCUAAAAAGUUAAUAAAAUUAGGAAAAAAUUUUAAAAUCAUUUCAAAUAGUGAAACUGGAAUACUGGAUGGGAUAUCAAAUAUAAGUGUCAAUAAAUAAAAGUUUAUUCAUAAUUAUUUUUACCUUCACUAUGCAUAAACACUUUGUACAAGGCUCAUGUCAAUAAGAAUGGAACAAAUGUCUAAAUGAAGAAAUGCACACAUUUGUUCUGGUGUUUAUUAAUACUGGAAAAUUGCGGAAAUUAUGAAAUAAUUAAGAUUUCCACAAGAGUAAAAAAAAUAUUUUGAGUUAUCUCCCAUUAGAAAAGGCCAAAGAGAUAAAGAGGUCUUUUCAACAAAAUAAAGGAAAUCCAAGCACUCAUAGUAUUUGGCUAUUAAAACAUUAAGAGGAAAUGUAGUGCAUUAUAUGACCACUGUGUAUCAUCACCACCGGAUAUAGGAAGCGGUGGAAAACAAUGUGAAGUCAGACUGGAGUUGUUUCCCUUGCACUGGUAACCAUGUGCUGUAAGCAGACACGGCGAGGAGGCUGUGAACAAACAUUUUCCAGUCCAAACGGAUGAUUUAGCAGCCGUGAAUAGUAAUGAAAGACAAUAAUACUAAUACAAGAAUAAUCCAGAUCUUCCAUUUGAAAUACUAAAGCUGUCUGUUGAAAGUGAUUUUGUACAGAGUUUGAAUAUGGCAUUAGAAAUAAUUGCAUUGUCAAGACUUGACAAGUAAAUGCUGCAAUGGAAUUGCUUGAUAAAUAUCAUGUUCAGACAUCUAUCAGCUAUGACCAGCCAUCAAAAAUAUUUCCAGACUGUGCAGACGAUUUUUAAUGGAUAACCAAUUACUAAAAAUGAAUAAAUGUUUUAUGAGAUGCGAGGAAUAUCAAAGAAAAUAUGAUGCGGUUUCAAAAAAGACUUUUGUGUUGAAGAUGUCAAAUAAAAUGAAAAGUGGAGAAAGUAUAAGUCAUGAUGAUCUACAGACCAUGAUCCAUCUAGUUCAGUCACCUAGGGAAUUUAAUCUUUGUGUGGAUAUGGCUAGAAGAUAUCAAACAGCAAAGGUUAAUGCAUCUGAAAAUGGCAAAGUUUGUCUACCUGUGAAUCACCAACUAGCAACGGUUCAAUCACCUAUUAAUAAGGAAACUGCCAAAGUUCAUACACCUGUAGAAAAGCAACCAGCCAUUUUUCGAGCACCUAAAAUUCACUAAACUUCAAAGGUUCAUGCUCCUGUAAAUCACCAAACAUCCAAGGUUUAUACACAUAUAAAACAUUAUACAGCAAAGGUUCAUGUGCUUGCAAACCAUCAAAAUAACGAAGUUCAUUCUCCUGGUAACAACAGUGAUUGCAAGGUUUCUUUAUUUUCAAAUCACCAAAUUGCCAAAGAUCAUACACCCAUAAUUGACGAAACUGGUAAUGUUCCUAAUCCAGCAAAGUACCAGAAUGUCAAGUUGGACAUUGGGCCACAGUUCAUGAGGAUUUUGCAUCAUUUUAAGAAAGCAUAUAUCGCUAUUAUGCUUAUGGAAGAUAGGUCCACCAUGAGGAACUUUCUGUAUAACAACUGUGAUUGAUGUGUAUAUGGAUCUACUAUUCAAGACAGGAGAAUAUGAGAAAGUUGUGAAAACCUAGGAAGAAAUAGAUUAUUUUAAUGAACAAAAACUUACAAAUCAUAUGACACUGGUCAUGGCAGCUUUAUAUAAUUUACUUACGAAGCAGUUUCACUCAUGUCUCCUACACUAGAAAAGGUCCUGCAAAUAUGCGAAAGAUGGAUGCAAACAAAACAUGAAAAAGGGAAAACCGGAAACUUACGAAGCAGUUUCACUCAUGUCUCCUACACUAGAAAAGGUCCUGCAAAUAUGCGAAAGAUGGAUGCAAACAAAACAUGAAAAAGGGAAAAACCGGAAAAAUACGUUGGAAGCUUUGGAGAAAGCUGUUGAAAUCAUACGCGACAAAUAUUAACAAGAUAUAACCGUGACACCACCAAAGGCAUGAGCAUUUGCUGCAGCUUUAGCAUUAAGACAGGAUGAUCCUAAUCUGGCAUUGAAUAUUCUACAGCUUGGUUCUGAAAGUCAUUCAAUAAUAUAAACUCAGCUAUAAGAGUCAUGGCUCUGGCAAAAUUAGACAAAGUUCAUGAAGCAUUUCAAAUGUUAGAUUCUUUCCAUAAUCAGAUAGGUGGAACCUAUAAAAAGCCAAUUAGAAUAUACCCAGAAUGUCUGAAUGCAUUGAAUGAUAUGGUCAAAAGAAAUAGUGAUCCAGAAAUUCUAGAGAAAUUUACAGAAAUGAAAAAUAAUUUACGACAAGCUGGACUAAUAAACUGUGUGACAUUAUUUCAAAAACUUUCACAUACUCUAUAUAGUAAUCCUCCUAAUAUAUGUAAAUGUGAAUUAAAUGGAUAUUUUACACCUGAUAGAUGUACCCCAGUGUAUAAAAUAAAAGUGCCAUAAAUCA